RNAcentral lists this unclassified non-coding RNA (392 nucleotides) under soil metagenome. Its description in RNAcentral is "partial contains 5.8S ribosomal RNA, internal transcribed spacer 2, and large subunit ribosomal RNA". The stretch from base 1 to 122 matches the Rfam family "5.8S ribosomal RNA", at positions 35 to 154 of the family's 154-position model. The record is from RNAcentral.
GAUGAAGAACGCAGCGAAAUGCGAUACUUGGUGUGAAUUGCAGAAUCCCGUGAACCAUCGAGUCUUUGAACGCAAGUUGCGCCCGAAGCCAUUAGGCCGAGGGCACGCCUGCCUGGGCGUCACACGUCGUUGCCCCCCCCAUCUACUCCUUCGGGAUUGCGGGGGGCGGAUGAUGGCCUCCCGUGCGCCUCGCCGCGCGGUUGGCAUAAAUGCCAAGUCCUCGGCGAUGCACGCCACGACAAUCGGUGGUUGCGAAACCUCGGUUGCCCGUCGUGUGCGGUCGUCGCGCAUCGAGGGCUCGAAAAAAUUGCCGGGCUCCGGCUCGGCUUUCAACGCAACCCCAGGUCAGGCGGGGUUACCCGCUGAAUUUAAGCAUAUCAAUAAGCGGAGGA